Molecule: non-coding RNA, 1374 nt
Organism: Punica granatum (pomegranate)
Lineage: Eukaryota; Viridiplantae; Streptophyta; Magnoliopsida; Myrtales; Lythraceae
Source: RefSeq, a predicted model, not a curated record
GAAGAAGGAAGGCACUUAAACCGCUCUCACAUCAAGCCAAGGUACAAGGAAGAAAAGGAACACGGAACACCUAAAACUAACCUCUUGUUUGGUUGGGCUCGUCUGAAUUAGGAAUCCGACCCAAUUAUGCCAGAUUAGCUAUUCUUUCCUUUGGUGGCGAUUUUGGGCUAGGAUUAGUUAUUCCAAAUCCGGGCCAAUUCCAGCUAAAGCCAUGUUUGGUUCGCUUGAAAUCAGAUUCCAUUUCGUUCGUAUUCCGUGCGGAAUACUCAUUCUAAUGUUUGGGAAACGGGCAUGCGGAAUAGCUAUUACGGGUCGGAAUGGUUUUCAUACUUAGGUAAGGAAUAGGUGUGCUUCCCUUCUACAUGCUGAAUAGCAUUGCCCCAUCAGGAAUAAGUGUGAAAAAAUCGAAAAUAGCCUCAUCUUUAUCCCCAAUUUCUAUAUGAUGCCCUCGCUCUCUCACGAUCCUGCUGCCCCCGAACCCUAGAAUCGUUGAAGCCUUCUUAAACCUGAGACACCGCCGAGGGUGGAGCUGCCUCUCUCGCUUUGAUCGAAUUGCCAGCGAUCAACAAUUCAAUCGGGGCAGAGAAGCUCAGUUGGGGCUCUUCGUGGCCGUUCCCGGAUAACCUGGGAGAGGAGUGAUGAGUGUGUGGUCGAAGAAUAGGUUCUCAUUGAGCAAUUCCGAAGAGGAAGACGCCGCAGGGGGAUCAAGUGGAGGUGGAGGUGAUGGGUCGAUGGGUUGAGGCUGGGGCUGGGGAACAAGAGGAGGGUCUGAAAGCUGGGAAGGAGUAAAGAGGACCAUGCCCUCGAACAGGGAGUCCAUGUCGUCCUCCAUUGACGCCGAUUGGGAGCUUUGAGCUCUCUACCGCCGAUGCUCUAAGUGACCUCAUCAGACUAGUCUCGGCACGAAGAUGCUAUUUCUGGCUUCGAAGUUGACUAAUAUCAUGUCUUUCCCAAGAAUUGGCGACUGAAAGUCCUGACGAAACCUUAGCCACGAUCCACGGCUGAGGACGAGCCUCACCUGGAACCCACAAGGCUUAUCUUGGCUUUGCAAUGUCUAGGCAACCUCAGAAGGAGAUCACUCAGAGCUCUCGAGCCCACAAGGCUCGCUGUCAAAUGCACCUCUCGUCGUCAAUGCUCUCGACCCUACAAGGCCCUGACGCCGGAAUUUCAAGUUCGACGAGAAAUAUGAACACGAAAAGGCCAAAUCUGCCUUCUUGUGUAGAGACCAUUGGGGAGAGGUCUCUUCGAGGCUCCGGGGUGAUGGUUGGUCGGUGUCGAUAGUGAAAAUGCUAGCCGCUGGAAUGUGGUGGUUGCUUGCUACUUUACUGUUUGUCGAAGCCAAGGGUUAAAAAGAAUAGGGAAAUUUACCUAAAA